GUCACCUACACAGCAUGAGGCGCCUGUGCUUCCCUGAGCCCUCGAAUGUUCUGGGGCCAGCGGCUGUGCUCAGCUUCUGCCAGUGCGUCCACACGGUCCAUUCCCUCGUCUCAUGUCAGGGACCCCUGGGAUUACGAGACCAGCAGAGCUGCCUUCUCUGGCCACUGGCCACACCUGUGGGCCCCUGUGGCAUCUAGGCCACUUGCUCUAGGGCAUAUUGGGGGGCUGGGGAGUGGGUGGGGUUGGCAUCAGCUUGAUCCAGGCUCCUCAUGCCUGACCCUGGGGUCUGUUUGCACUCCCAAGUGCCAAGAGUGCCUCCCUACCCCUCAUCUGCCUCCCACGAGUGGGGCCAGGGCUGGGUGAGAGGCCCCCAGAAGCUGCCUUGUGCACCUCGCCAGCCCGUCACUCUUCUUCUAAAGUAACAAAAACAAGUGCCUCAGUUCUCACGGGGGCUGGGGCCCAGGGUUGCUGUCCUGUCUAGUUACCCGGGUCAGCUCCUUCCUCUCAGCCUCCUUUCAUACGGCAGGAGGGGAGAACCACAUCCAGAUCCAUGGGGGCAGUGGGGACGGGCUGAGCGUCAGGAUACAGCCUCCCCAUUUGCGUGUGUGUAAAGGCUGAAGUCAACAGCAGACUUUGGAGUUAAAUGUGCUUUUUACAUUUUUAUUAGGAAAAAUUUCAAACGUGUGAAUGCAGGUUAAGAGCAGUGCAGUGAACCUCCCUUCCUGAAGCUCCCCAGAUGGGGUGCCAUUCCGAGGACAUGUUAGUCAUGAGCGCCUGUCAGCCACAUAGCUCAGGCUCCCGCGUGUGGGGAAAUGGCACAAAUAGUUUCCUGCAGGAACCCAGCGUCAGUCCCCACACAGGGCCCAGAGGGGUGAGGGUCCUCUGGCUGGGAAUGGUGUGUGAUGGAGCUGACCAGCCUGAGCUUGUCUUGUCUCUUCUGCAGCCUCAUGCCUGCUGAAACCAGUCCUGGAGCGGAUGUCUUGUUCCUGAGGGAGGCCGGUGUGGAAAGCCUGGCACGGCGGUGCCUCCAGCUGUUGAAGGGUAGCGCUGGCCCUCGGAGGCUGGCACCAGCGGACAGCUUUUCCUCUCUGCACCUGCACUCGAAUGACCUGGGGUGGAUGCCUCUGCCUUCACUUGAACACAAAUGUGCUUCCUAUAAAAUCAUGUACCAAGAA
This is an RNA transcript of Rhinopithecus roxellana (golden snub-nosed monkey), 1175 nucleotides long. RefSeq lists it as uncharacterized. The transcript has a single exon. The record is from RefSeq and is a predicted model, not a curated record. Lineage: Eukaryota; Metazoa; Chordata; Mammalia; Primates; Cercopithecidae.